RNAcentral lists this non-coding RNA (30 nucleotides) under Macaca fascicularis (crab-eating macaque). The record is from RNAcentral. Lineage: Eukaryota; Metazoa; Chordata; Mammalia; Primates; Cercopithecidae. RNAcentral also lists the same sequence under 1 other name.
UAGGAAACCAGAGUCAGAGUGAGGUCAGGA